UUAGGCCUAACACAUGCAAGUCGAGCGAUGAAGCCUUCGGGCUGAUUAGCGGCGGACGGGUGAGUAACACGUGGGUAACCUGCCUCAAAGAGGGGGAUAGCCUCCCGAAAGGGAGAUUAAUACCGCAUAAUAUCAGUAUUUCGCAUGAAGAACUGAUUAAAGGAGUAAUCCGCUUUGAGAUGGACCCGCGGCGCAUUAGCUAGUUGGUGAGGUAAAGGCUCACCAAGGCGACGAUGCGUAGCCGACCUGAGAGGGUGAUCGGCCACAUUGGAACUGAGAUACGGUCCAGACUCCUACGGGAGGCAGCAGUGGGGAAUAUUGCACAAUGGGCGAAAGCCUGAUGCAGCAACGCCGCGUGAGUGAUGAAGGCCUUCGGGUUGUAAAGCUCUGUCUUUGGGGACGAUAAUGACGGUACCCAAGGAGGAAGCCACGGCUAACUACGUGCCAGCAGCCGCGGUAAUACGUAGGUGGCAAGCGUUGUCCGGAUUUACUGGGCGUAAAGGAUGCGUAGGCGGAUAUUUAAGUGAGAUGUGAAAUUCCCGGGCUUAACUUGGGAGCUGCAUUUCAAACUGGAUAUCUAGAGUGCAGGAGAGGAGAAUGGAAUUCCUAGUGUAGCGGUGAAAUGCGUAGAGAUUAGGAAGAACACCAGUGGCGAAGGCGAUUCUCUGGACUGUAACUGACGCUGAGGCAUGAAAGCGUGGGUAGCAAACAGGAUUAGAUACCCUGGUAGUCCACGCCGUAAACGAUGAGUACUAGGUGUAGGAGGGUCCAACCUUCUGUGCCGCAGUUAACACAAUAAGUACUCCGCCUGGGAAGUACGAUCGCAAGAUUAAAACUCAAAGGAAUUGACGGGGGCCCGCACAAGCGGUGGAGCAUGUGGUUCAAUUCGAAGCAACGCGCAGAACCUUACCAGCCUUUGACAUCCCGGUCGCGGGCACCAGAGAUGGAGCCCUUCAGUUCGGCUGGACCGGAGACAGGUGCUGCAUGGCUGUCGUCAGCUCGUGUCGUGAGAUGUUGGGUUAAGUCCCGCAACGAGCGCAACCCUCGCCCUUAGUUGCCAUCAUUUAGUUGGGCACUCUAAGGGGACUGCCGG
This 1093-nucleotide ribosomal RNA is filed under the name uncultured bacterium. Its description in RNAcentral is "bacterial SSU rRNA". It matches the Rfam family "Bacterial small subunit ribosomal RNA", at positions 42 to 1155 of the family's 1533-position model. The record is from RNAcentral.